Molecule: transfer RNA, 93 nt
Filed under: Nitrososphaerales archaeon
Lineage: Archaea; Thermoproteati; Nitrososphaerota; Nitrososphaeria; Nitrososphaerales
Description: tRNA-OTHER
Rfam family: tRNA
About the family: Transfer RNA (tRNA) molecules are approximately 80 nucleotides in length. Their secondary structure includes four short double-helical elements and three loops (D, anti-codon, and T loops).
Source: RNAcentral
GGGCCGGUCGUCUAGCAUGGUUAGGACGUCAGUAUAAUUUACCGUCAAGCUCUGACACGGCGAAGGUCGGUGGUUCAAAUCCGCCCCGGCCCA